RNAcentral lists this ribosomal RNA (785 nucleotides) under uncultured bacterium. RNAcentral's name for it is "bacterial SSU rRNA". It matches the Rfam family "Bacterial small subunit ribosomal RNA", at positions 8 to 796 of the family's 1533-position model. The record is from RNAcentral.
AGAGUUUGAUCCUGGCUCAGGAUGAACGCUAGCGACAGGCCUAACACAUGCAAGUCGAGGGGUAUAGUAGCAAUACUAGAGACCGGCGCACGGGUGCGUAACGCGUAUGUAACCUGCCUCACACUGGGGGAUAGCCUUCCGAAAGGGAGAUUAAUACCGCAUAAUAAUAUUGUUCUGCCUGGGAUGAUAUUUAAAACUUCGGUGGUGUGAGAUGGACAUGCGUAUGAUUAGCUAGUUGGCGGGGUAACGGCCCACCAAGGCGACGAUCAUUAGGGGUUCUGAGAGGAAGAUCCCCCACACUGGUACUGAGACACGGACCAGACUCCUACGGGAGGCAGCAGUGAGGAAUAUUGGUCAAUGGGCGAAAGCCUGAACCAGCCAUGUCGCGUGCAGGAAGACGGCCCUAUGGGUUGUAAACUGCUUUUGUAUGGGAAGAAACGACGGUACGUGUACUGUUUUGCCGGUACCAUACGAAUAAGGAUCGGCUAACUCCGUGCCAGCAGCCGUGGUAAUACGGAGGAUCCAAGCGUUAUCCGGAUUUAUUGGGUUUAAAGGGUGCGUAGGCGGGAGAUUAAGUCAGUGGUGAAAGUUUGCGGCUCAACCGUAAAAUUGCCAUUGAUACUGGUUUUCUUGAGUACAGUUGAGGUAGGCGGAAUGUGGUGUGUAGCGGUGAAAUGCUUAGAUAUACCACAGAACACCGAUUGCGAAGGCAGCUUACUAAGUUGUGACUGACGCUGAAGCACGAAAGCAUGGGGAUCAAACAGGAUUAGAUACCCUGGUAGUCG